This 253-nucleotide ribosomal RNA is filed under the name uncultured bacterium. RNAcentral describes it as "partial 16S ribosomal RNA". It matches the Rfam family "Bacterial small subunit ribosomal RNA", at positions 524 to 776 of the family's 1533-position model. The record is from RNAcentral.
UACGUAGGGUGCAAGCGUUAAUCGGAAUUACUGGGCGUAAAGCGUGCGCAGGCGGUGAUGUAAGACAGUUGUGAAAUCCCCGGGCUCAACCUGGGAACUGCAUCUGUGACUGCAUCGCUGGAGUGCGGCAGAGGGGGAUGGAAUUCCGCGUGUAGCAGUGAAAUGCGUAGAUAUCAGGAGGAACAUCGAUGGCGAAGGCAGCCCCUUGGACCUGUACUGACGCUCAUGCACGAAAGCGUGGGGAGCAAACAGG